ACGAAUCCAGCGGUUGAAAGUAAAGGUGGUCAGUCGGCUGAUGUAACGCCGACUUCCACUGAAGAGACAAAACAUUAUCUGACGAAACUGAAUGAUCGUUCUUCCCGACACCGAUGCUCCAAUCCGCCGUCCUCGCCGUCACGUCCUCCUCCGAUCCGAUUUGACGACGUCGCGCCGCCUCGCCUCGCCAUCGCGUCCUCCUCCUCCGAGCUGCUGGCCUCCCGUCGCUGCCCUCGCCGUCCCGUCCUCCUCCUCCUCCGAGCCGGGGCCUCCCGACGCUCACUCGCCUGGCGGUUGUUCCAGGGCGUCGAGUACGGCGGGCCAAGCAACCAGGAACGCAUCUGGCCAGACGCCCUGCUGCGCAUCGCCUCCUGAUCCCAGAUUCCAGGAUUGCGAAUACGUCAAGAGGAGUGCUUCACCGUCGCCUACUGUUCAGGGGCGAGGUAGGUACUGCCGCUCUUAAUGCCCGACGAUCGUUAUGGGCAUGCUAUAUCAGUGGCGGAGGACGGAUAAAAAUUGAGGAAAUUUUGAAGUCACGUUCUUAGUGCAGAAUUUUGGAAAGCAGAACAAAUAAACCAUCCAAGGUAGUAGGAGCUUGCACCAAACAGUAAUCUCAGUAGAAGACAACAAAGUAGAAGGACAAAAGCUAGACCUCCUAGAGUUUCAGUGCUUUCUCGACGCCUCAACGCCUACAGGUACG
This is a long non-coding RNA of Panicum hallii, 700 nucleotides long. RefSeq lists it as uncharacterized. The transcript has 4 exons. Lineage: Eukaryota; Viridiplantae; Streptophyta; Magnoliopsida; Poales; Poaceae. The record is from RefSeq and is a predicted model, not a curated record.